Molecule: transfer RNA, 75 nt
Filed under: Acidobacteriota bacterium
Lineage: Bacteria; Pseudomonadati; Acidobacteriota
Also listed under: 1 other name
Description: Acidobacteria bacterium tRNA-Gln
Rfam family: tRNA
About the family: Transfer RNA (tRNA) molecules are approximately 80 nucleotides in length. Their secondary structure includes four short double-helical elements and three loops (D, anti-codon, and T loops). Further hydrogen bonds mediate the characteristic L-shaped molecular structure. tRNAs have two regions of fundamental functional importance: the anti-codon, which is responsible for specific mRNA codon recognition, and the 3' end, to which the tRNAs corresponding amino acid is attached (by aminoacyl-tRNA synthetases). tRNAs cope with the degeneracy of the genetic code in two manners: having more than one tRNA (with a specific anti-codon) for a particular amino acid; and 'wobble' base-pairing, i.e. permitting non-standard base-pairing at the 3rd anti-codon position.
Source: RNAcentral
UGGGGCGUGGCCAAGCGGUAAGGCGCCGGAUUUUGGUUCCGGUAUUCGAAGGUUCGAACCCUUCCGCCCCAGCCA